This 234-nucleotide long non-coding RNA is filed under the name Capsella rubella. Its description in RNAcentral is "long non-coding RNA (CRUB_LNC004564)". The record is from RNAcentral. Lineage: Eukaryota; Viridiplantae; Streptophyta; Magnoliopsida; Brassicales; Brassicaceae.
UAGAUAUUAUACUUCAUGAUCUAAAUCUUUUAUUAUUUGGAUCGGCGAUGCUUGUAAUUAUGAAUGUUAUAAAGAUAUUUGAGUGUUUUGGGUAUUGAAUUCAGUAACAUUUCACCUAAUGGGAAUAACGAUUCGUGCACAUGUCUAUGUCAUUUUCCCGAUGAAUAUUUAUUUAGCUUUUUUAAUGCUAAUUUUAAAGUUAGUGGAAUACAUCCAUGCAUGCAUAUAUACUUG